Long non-coding RNA from Panicum virgatum (switchgrass), 263 nucleotides. RefSeq lists it as uncharacterized. Lineage: Eukaryota; Viridiplantae; Streptophyta; Magnoliopsida; Poales; Poaceae. The transcript is spliced from 3 exons. The record is from RefSeq and is a predicted model, not a curated record.
CCUGACGGGAAAAGGAACUUUGACAUAGUUGUUCCAGGUGUUGCUCACAACCGCAUGGCCAAUGGCAUCCUGGGCCUCCUCUGCAAGCGACACUACCCAGGCGCCAUGGAUAUUGCUGGGGUACGUCAGCCAGCCUCUUCGUGGGAGCACUACAUCGCCGCACCGGAUGGACCAGAUGAGGAAGGCAGGGCAUUUGACAACAAGGCGCACCGGGUGUUGAACGAAUUAUGGGAUUUCUACAGAUGCGAGGAGGGAAUGAUGCC